CAGCAGCCGCGGUAAUACGUAGGGUGCAAGCGUUAAUCGGAAUUACUGGGCGUAAAGCGUGCGCAGGCGGUUAUAUAAGACAGAUGUGAAAUCCCCGGGCUCAACCUGGGAACUGCAUUUGUGACUGUAUAGCUAGAGUACGGCAGAGGGGGAUGGAAUUCCGCGUGUAGCAGUGAAAUGCGUAGAUAUGCGGAGGAACACCGAUGGCAAAGGCAAUCCCCUGGGCCUGUACUGACGCUCAUGCACGAAAGCGUGGGGAGCAAACAGGAUUAGAUACCCCCGUAGUCCCUGUCUCUUAUAC
This 301-nucleotide ribosomal RNA is filed under the name uncultured bacterium. Its description in RNAcentral is "partial 16S ribosomal RNA". It matches the Rfam family "Bacterial small subunit ribosomal RNA", at positions 509 to 807 of the family's 1533-position model. The record is from RNAcentral.